This 1553-nucleotide long non-coding RNA is filed under the name Homo sapiens (human). Its description in RNAcentral is "HSALNT0153302". The record is from RNAcentral. Lineage: Eukaryota; Metazoa; Chordata; Mammalia; Primates; Hominidae.
UGUAUUUAAAAAUCUGAUUUUUUUUUAUUUUAUUUAAGAAUGUUUCUUAACAAAUUGCUGAGGACACAUCUACUUGUUAUACGACCAACAGGUUCAUGUGUCCACUGCACAGUAACAGACCACUGACACAGACAGCAGGGAUGCAGCAGAGACAGAGUUUAAUUUUUGCAGGGCGCCAAGCAAGGAGAUGGGAGGACAUCCUCAAACCCAUCUCCUCGAGGAGUUCUUGGCUGGGAUUUUUAAGGGGAUCAUUGAGGGUGAAGGAUUGGAAAAUUGGGGUUGUUGAUUGGUCAGGGCAAGGAGGGUGAUAUCAUCACGAUAUAGAAACUGCAUUCUUUAGUGAGUCCACUUCUCGUGGGGACCCUCAGAUCAGCUGAGUCAGUGGUAUCCUUCAGACCAGCUGGCACCACUGGGGUCUUACAGACAAGCUGGUGUAGUAAUUCCAUCAGUAUGCAGGACCAAUAGGAUUCAGGAUUUUAACUAAACUGACUUAGCAGGAUUCUUGCUAAAAUUGGUCAGUGUAGAAAUGAACAUGGGGGCCCAGAUGUCAGGAUCUGCUUGAGAAGAGACUUCAGAAAAAGACUGAUUCAAAUUUGGUCAAGGAGCGAAUCUUUGUUAGUCCCUCCAUCUUAUUCAAAGAAAGAAUAUAUAUUUUUCUUUUCUGUGAAGAAUAUAAGCCCAUUUUUUCAUUCAGUCACCUCCAGUUUAUUAAGAAGUAGAUGAAUCAUCUGAUAGGAAUUGGUAAUAAAGGUACUUGCUGGAUGGCAUGAGCAGUCAGGCAUUUAAUGAGGAAAGUUUCUAUGAAAAUUUAAAAAAAAAAAAGAUUAAUACUUAGAAACGCAGUUUCUGAGGCCAGAGGGAAGCCAGUCUAGAUUUCUAUUGAUAGGUGAUGGGCUGGAAGCCUCUUUAGAUGGUGGAGUGAGGAUGGAAGAGGUAACCCACUGAAUUUCCUGGUUUGUAGUUCGAAUGUCCUUGGUGAUGCCAUUGGAGGUUCCAGUGAACUUUUUAAAUGGUCCACACAGCAACAGGCACCAAGGUUGCCCAUCUAUGAUCUAUCAUGAUGAUUUCUAUGGAGUUUAUUUCAUUUCAAGUCAAUCAGCUUCAACUUUCAAGGCUUAAGGAAAAAGGAAAUUUUAGUUCUCAGGGUUGCCAAAUCAGGACGGUAGGAAAAAAAAUUGGAAGUGUUAGUUUGAAGAGUCGUAGCCAGAUAUUGGAGGAAACUAGAAGAAUUGAGACUUCACAGUGGUAUGGUAUAGUUUCUGCUGGGGGAAAAAUUCUCUGUCUGGUGUCCCUCCUUUUUGAUCAACUAUAACCAAAGUAAGAUUCUUUUUAUUUACAAAUAAGUCUGAUCUCAUUAGAUGUAGCCUAAUUAUUGACAUAAGGAUGAUAAGAAUGGUAAUUGCCCACAUAGGCCUUCUGAAUUUGCUUUGCUAGAAAUUUUCAUAAAGAAUCUCACAUUAGCCUUUUAGAAACCACUUAAAUUUAAGAAGCCAAGCCAAGAACUUAUCACCAGAUUUCACUUGCAGUACCUAUAGAUCUGGAUAAAUUCCUCC